UACGGGGGGGGCAAGCGUUGUUCGGAAUUACUGGGCGUAAAGGGCUCGUAGGCGGCCAACUAAGUCAUACGUGAAAUCCCUCGGCUUAACCGGGGAACUGCGUCUGAUACUGGAUGGCUUGAGUUCGGGAGAGGGAUGCGGAAUUCCAGGUGUAGCGGUGAAAUGCGUAGAUAUUGGGAGGAACACCGGUGGCGAAGGCGGCCACCUGGACAGUGACUGACGCUGAGGCGCGAAAGCAUGGGUAGCAAACAGG
RNAcentral lists this ribosomal RNA (253 nucleotides) under uncultured bacterium. Its description in RNAcentral is "partial 16S ribosomal RNA". It matches the Rfam family "Bacterial small subunit ribosomal RNA", at positions 524 to 776 of the family's 1533-position model. The record is from RNAcentral.